GAUGAACGCUAGCGGCGUGCCUAACACAUGCAAGUCGAACGUGAGAGGGUACUUGUAUCCUUGAAAGUGGCGGACGGGUGAGUAAGACGUAGGUGACCUGCCUUGAAGUGGGGGAUAACCAUUGGAAACGAUGGCUAAUACCGCAUAAGCUGGUGACGAUGGGAAUCGUUAACAGGAAAGCUUUAGUGCUUUGAGAGGGGCCUACGGCCGAUUAGCUAGUUGGUGAGGUAAAGGCUCACCAAGGCGAUGAUCGGUAGCUGGUCUGAGAGGACGAUCAGCCACACGGGAACUGAGACACGGUCCCGACUCCUACGGGGGGCAGCAGUGAGGAAUAUUCGGCAAUGGGGGCAACCCUGACCGAGCAACGCCGCGUGGAGGAUGACGGUUUUCGGAUUGUAAACUCCUUUUCUCAGGGAAGAGCGAGGACGGUAC
Molecule: ribosomal RNA, 432 nt
Filed under: uncultured bacterium
Lineage: Bacteria
Description: bacterial SSU rRNA
Rfam family: Bacterial small subunit ribosomal RNA
Source: RNAcentral